RNAcentral lists this ribosomal RNA (435 nucleotides) under uncultured bacterium. RNAcentral's name for it is "partial 16S ribosomal RNA". It matches the Rfam family "Bacterial small subunit ribosomal RNA", at positions 29 to 507 of the family's 1533-position model. The record is from RNAcentral.
AACGAACGCUGGCGGCAUGCCUAACACAUGCAAGUCGAACGGGUACCUUCGGGUGCUAGUGGCGCACGGGUGCGUAACGCGUGGGAAUCUGCCCUUGGGUUCGGAAUAACUCAGCGAAAGCUGUGCUAAUACCGGAUGAUGUCGAAAGACCAAAGAUUUAUCGCCCGAGGAUGAGCCCGCGUUGGAUUAUCUAGUUGUUGGGGUAAAGGCCUACCAAGGCGACGAUCCAUAGCUGGUCUGAGAGGAUGAUCAGCCACACUGGGACUGAGACACGGCCCAGACUCCUACGGGAGGCAGCAGUGGGGAAUAGUGGACAAUGGGCGAAAGCCUGAUCCAGCAAUGACGCGUGAGUGAUGAAGGCCUUAGGGUUGUAAAGCUCUUUUACCCGGGAUGAUAAUGACAGUACCGGGAGAAUAAGCUCCGGCUAACUCCGUG